GUGCUUGCUUUGGCAACACAUAAACUAAAAUUGGAAUAGCAAAGAGAAGAUUAGCAUGGCCCCUGCAUAAAGAUGACAUGCAAAAUUGCAAAACAUUCCAUAUUUUU
Molecule: small nuclear RNA, 107 nt
Organism: Sorex araneus (European shrew)
Lineage: Eukaryota; Metazoa; Chordata; Mammalia; Eulipotyphla; Soricidae
Source: Ensembl